GAAAAAUUAAUUUAUAAAAAAUAUUAAAUUGUCAAUUUAAAAAAGUAUUAACAUACAUUUUUCU
This 64-nucleotide transfer RNA is filed under the name Myzostoma seymourcollegiorum. RNAcentral describes it as "tRNA-Asp". The record is from RNAcentral. Lineage: Eukaryota; Metazoa; Annelida; Myzostomida; Myzostomatidae.